Molecule: ribosomal RNA, 1062 nt
Filed under: human gut metagenome
Description: bacterial SSU rRNA
Rfam family: Bacterial small subunit ribosomal RNA
Source: RNAcentral
AGAGUUUGAUCCUGGCUCAGGAUGAACGCUAGCGACAGGCUUAACACAUGCAAGUCGAGGGGCAGCAUGAGGUAGCAAUACCUUGAUGGCGACCGGCGCACGGGUGAGUAACGCGUAUGCAACCUGCCCGAUACCGGGGUAUAGCCCAUGGAAACGUGGAUUAACACCCCAUAGUACUUUUAUCCUGCAUGGGAUGUGAGUUAAAUGUUCAAGGUAUCGGAUGGGCAUGCGUCCUAUUAGUUAGUUGGCGGGGUAACAGCCCACCAAGACGAUGAUAGGUAGGGGUUCUGAGAGGAAGGUCCCCCACAUUGGAACUGAGACACGGUCCAAACUCCUACGGGAGGCAGCAGUGAGGAAUAUUGGUCAAUGGACGUAAGUCUGAACCAGCCAAGUCGCGUGAGGGAAGACUGCCCUAUGGGUUGUAAACCUCUUUUAUAAGGGAAGAAUAAGUUCUACGUGUAGAAUGAUGCCUGUACCUUAUGAAUAAGCAUCGGCUAACUCCGUGCCAGCAGCCGCGGUAAUACGGAGGAUGCGAGCGUUAUCCGGAUUUAUUGGGUUUAAAGGGUGCGUAGGCGGUUUAUUAAGUUAGUGGUUAAAUAUUUGAGCUAAACUCAAUUGUGCCAUUAAUACUGGUAAACUGGAGUACAGACGAGGUAGGCGGAAUAAGUUAAGUAGCGGUGAAAUGCAUAGAUAUAACUUAGAACUCCGAUAGCGAAGGCAGCUUACCAGACUGUAACUGACGCUGAUGCACGAGAGCGUGGGUAGCGAACAGGAUUAGAUACCCUGGUAGUCCACGCCGUAAACGAUGCUCACUGGUUCUGUGCGAUAUAUUGUACGGGAUUAAGCGAAAGUAUUAAGUGAGCCACCUGGGGAGUACGUCGGCAACGAUGAAACUCAAAGGAAUUGACGGGGGCCCGCACAAGCGGAGGAACAUGUGGUUUAAUUCGAUGAUACGCGAGGAACCUUACCUGGGUUUAAAUGGGAAAUGCCGUAUUUGGAAACAGAUAUUCUCUUCGGAGCGUUUUUCAAGGUGCUGCAUGGUUGUCGUCAGCUCGUGCCGUG